Molecule: ribosomal RNA, 497 nt
Filed under: uncultured bacterium
Lineage: Bacteria
Description: partial 16S ribosomal RNA
Rfam family: Bacterial small subunit ribosomal RNA
Source: RNAcentral
GAUGAACGCUGGCGGCGUGCCUAAUACAUGCAAGUCGAGCGAACAGACGAGGAGCUUGCUCCUCUGACGUUAGCGGCGGACGGGUGAGUAACACGUGGAUAACCUACCUAUAAGACUGGGAUAACUUCGGGAAACCGGAGCUAAUACCGGAUAAUAUAUUGAACCGCAUGGUUCAAUAGUGAAAGACGGUUUUGCUGUCACUUAUAGAUGGAUCCGCGCCGCAUUAGCUAGUUGGUAAGGUAACGGCUUACCAAGGCAACGAUGCGUAGCCGACCUGAGAGGGUGAGCGGCCACCCUGGAACUUGCACACGGUCCAGCGUCCUAGGGGCGGAGCCAGGAGGAAUUCUUCCGCAAUGGCGAAAAGUUUGACGGAACACCCCCGCGGGAGGAAUAAAGUUCUUCGUUUCUAAAAACUUUUUAUUUGGGGAAAAAAAAAUGGGAAAGAAACAAUACCCUUCUGGACGUUCCCUAAUAAAAAAGCCACGGCAAACUACGUC